RNAcentral lists this ribosomal RNA (424 nucleotides) under uncultured bacterium. RNAcentral's name for it is "bacterial SSU rRNA". It matches the Rfam family "Bacterial small subunit ribosomal RNA", at positions 358 to 774 of the family's 1533-position model. The record is from RNAcentral.
GGAAUUUUGGACAAUGGGCGCAAGCCUGAUCCAGCCAUGCCGCGUGAGUGAAGAAGGCCUUCGGGUUGUAAAGCUCUUUCGGCUGGGAAGAAAUCGCACUCUCUAAUACGGGGUGUGGAUGACGGUACCAGCAUAAGAAGCACCGGCUAACUCCGUGCCAGCAGCCGCGGUAAUACGGAGGGUGCAAGCGUUAAUCGGAAUUACUGGGCGUAAAGCGCACGCAGGCGGUCUGUUAAGUCAGAUGUGAAAUCCCCGGGCUUAACCUGGGAACUGCAUUUGAAACUGGCAGGCUUGAGUCUUGUAGAGGGGGGUAGAAUUCCAGGUGUAGCGGUGAAAUGCGUAGAGAUCUGGAGGAAUACCGGUGGCGAAGGCGGCCCCCUGGACAAAGACUGACGCUCAGGUGCGAAAGCGUGGGGAGCAAACA